GCUUAUCCCCCUGAUGUGCUAGAAAUUAUAUUUUAAAAAUAUCGCAAGCGCACGAUCAUCGUUUUAAUAUUUAUGAUUCGAUCCACAGAGAUUAAAAUUAUUUUUCGCUAACCUUUAAAUCUAACCUAGGCGAAUUAGAACAAUUAAUUUUGAGAAAAAGGGUUUUCUAAAUUUAACUCUAAGAUUUCAUUUUAAACUAAUCUAAUUAAUUAUUACUAAUCACAAUUAAAAUCAAAAUUAAGCCUAAUAAUUUAAGAUCGAAAACUAAUUUUAGACACUUAAAAGAAAAAAAAAUGACAAGUCGUGUGCUUAAUCUAUCUAGCCAAUUCAAAAAGUCAAAUCGUGUUUAACCACAAUUUAUAAUCAGAAAAUUUUCAAGCACUAAACUUCAGUAAAUAACAAAAUCCAUUAGAAAUGGCAAACUCGAAAUGGCAACUCAGAGACUAAACAAAUUAAAACCCAAAACAAACUACUUGACACAAAUCAUUCUUAAACAACCUUACAACAGCUAACAAAAUAAAACAAACUCCACUAUUUAGACAAAGGAAUCCAGCUACUGACUCGGGAAACUCGGAGACAGAACCUGCGACUCGGACCUCGACACUAAAUUAACAAAACAUACAGAAACUCAGCAGGACUUAACUCGGCUAUUACAUAUACAGAACUCGGCGAAAACACAGGCUACAAAGAAGAAAUCGACGCAAUGAAAGCAGGGGUUUGAGACUCGACAACGCAUGACUCGAUGACUAACAAAAACACAAGAAACUCAGCUGACUCGGUGAACUCGAAAAGCAAACAAAACUAAUCAACUAAACUGGUUACUCGACUCAAAACAGAGCAACAAUAAGCAGGAUUCAAACAAAGAAAAACGAACCCAGCAACAAAAUCGGGACUGAUUACAAACAAAAGAAACGCAGGGAACAAACUACAAACACAAACUAAUUGAUUCAACAACAGAGAAACUGAAGCUCUGUAAGUCUAAAUGUAAAGACAACCCUAUCUGUUACAUAGGGAUGAUAACUCAACAAAUAGAACAGGACAAGUAAAUAACACUACGCCUGCACCGGAAUCGGAAGAUACGAAGACAAAGGUUGAAGAAGCCAUCUACAGUCUUGAAGGAAUAAGUUCAC
Molecule: long non-coding RNA, 1130 nt
Filed under: Daucus carota (carrot)
Lineage: Eukaryota; Viridiplantae; Streptophyta; Magnoliopsida; Apiales; Apiaceae
Description: long non-coding RNA (DCAR_LNC001175)
Source: RNAcentral